CUCUUAUCGAGAGUUGGGCGAGGGAUUGGCCUUUUGACCCCAACAGCAACCGACCGUAAUACCAUUGUGAAAUGGGGCGCACUGAUUUUCGCGCCGAGACUUUUGUCUCUUUAAGGCACGGUGCUAAUUCCAUCAGAUUUAUCUGAGAGAUAAGAG
This 156-nucleotide non-coding RNA is filed under the name Bacillus atrophaeus. RNAcentral's name for it is "SAM-I sequence". It matches the Rfam family "SAM riboswitch aptamer (S box leader)". From Rfam's summary of the family: The SAM riboswitch is found upstream of a number of genes which code for proteins involved in methionine or cysteine biosynthesis in Gram-positive bacteria. The SAM riboswitch acts at the level of transcription termination control. The predicted structure consists of a complex stem-loop region followed by a single stem loop terminator region. Lineage: Bacteria; Bacillati; Bacillota; Bacilli; Caryophanales; Bacillaceae. The record is from RNAcentral.